Molecule: ribosomal RNA, 749 nt
Filed under: uncultured Capnocytophaga sp.
Lineage: Bacteria; Pseudomonadati; Bacteroidota; Flavobacteriia; Flavobacteriales; Flavobacteriaceae
Description: bacterial SSU rRNA
Rfam family: Bacterial small subunit ribosomal RNA
Source: RNAcentral
GAUGAACGCUAGCGGCAGGCCUAACACAUGCAAGUCGAGGGAGAGGUUAUCUUCGGGUAACCAAAACCGGCGCACGGGUGCGUAACGCGUAUACAAUCUGCCUUUCACAUAGGGAUAGCCCGAAGAAAUUUGGAUUAAUACCUAAUGGUAUAUAGGAGCGGCAUCGUUUUUAUAUUAAAGCUACGGUGGUGAAAGAUGAGUAUGCGUUCUAUUAGCUAGUUGGAGAGGUAACGGCUCCCCAAGGCGACGAUAGAUAGGGGUUCUGAGAGGGAUGUCCCCCACACUGGUACUGAGAUACGGACCAGACUCCUACGGGAGGCAGCAGUGAGGAAUAUUGGACAAUGGUCGGAAGACUGAUCCAGCCAUGCCGCGUGCAGGAUGAAGGUCCUAUGGAUUGUAAACUGCUUUUGUAGGGGAAGAAUAAGGAGUACGUGUACUUUGAUGACGGUACCUUACGAAUAAGCAUCGGCUAACUCCGUGCCAGCAGCCGCGGUAAUACGGAGGAUGCGAGCGUUAUCCGGAAUCAUUGGGUUUAAAGGGUCCGUAGGCGGGCUGAUAAGUCAGAGGUGAAAGCGCUUAGCUCAACUAAGCAACUGCCUUUGAAACUGUCAGUCUUGAAUGAUUGUGAAGUAGUUGGAAUGUGUAGUGUAGCGGUGAAAUGCUUAGAUAUUACACAGAACACCGAUAGCGAAGGCAUAUUACUAACAAUUUAUUGACGCUGAUGGACGAAAGCGUGGGGAGCGAACAGG